RNAcentral lists this long non-coding RNA (400 nucleotides) under Salvia miltiorrhiza (redroot sage). Its description in RNAcentral is "long non-coding RNA (SMIL_LNC003003)". Lineage: Eukaryota; Viridiplantae; Streptophyta; Magnoliopsida; Lamiales; Lamiaceae. The record is from RNAcentral.
AUAUAAAAUACUACAAUCUGCUUCGAUAAAACAGUAUUACACGCACACAACAUAUUUUUACAACUACCAGUAACAAUAUACAAUAUUCCAAUCACAUUGAUACAUUGAUGUCCACAACUCAUAAUAACAUACAAAGUCAUCAGUAUCAUUACACAAACUUUCUUUUUCGCUCCACCAUGCUUUUCUCCCCAUUCAUACAACACCACCACUACACUCCUACCUCCCCCACCACUACACUCAAGUCUUCACCAAUGAAUUAUUAGUAUCAACCCCAGCCAACAAACUCCCUACUUCAUUCACUGUCCGUCAAGUUUCAAGGGGAGUAAAGUACUCUUCUUCUUGCCAAACUUCAAGGAGGUAAGCCUUCUUUGAAUUCUCUUUAAUGCACUCAGGAUUCCAC